Non-coding RNA from Rattus norvegicus (Norway rat), 2758 nucleotides. NCBI's taxonomy places the organism in Eukaryota, Metazoa, Chordata, Mammalia, Rodentia, Muridae. The record is from RefSeq and is a predicted model, not a curated record.
GUUAGCUUGAGAAAUAAAUGUUCAGCUGCCUGAUAAAAUAAGUAAACUGUGGUUAAAUGAAUGUAACUCCCAGCCCUGAGAACAAUGCAGCCACCAGAGGGUGCUGUGUACCUUCUCAGAAAUCUUCAGAGCCCUCACAAGUUCAAAUUCCCUGGACCGUGUCCAGCUGCUCACUGGACCCUUACGGGUGUUACAGCAGCUGCAUCCUCCCAGGGGGCAAAUGCACAGCACAGAGCCCAGGGCCUCCCUUGAUCUGCCUCUGACAGUGUAACUGCUCUGAGGGCUGAGGACCAGGUGGUGGAAGGGAUUCACAGCUCGUGUCUGUAGAAUGCACAGCAGAAAGAUUUCACAGGGAAGAAAACUCUUAAUUGCGAGGUGUUAGAGAGUUACAUACAGCAUAUCAGUAUCAAACAACUUAGAAAUAAGACUAUGGAUGUUCCAGCUGAGCAAGACUGUGGUGUCUGUGUGCCUUGUAACCAGCAGGGGCACUGUGAGGCGGUGUGUGUUUACAGUAAACUAAUCAUUUACUGAAAGGAAUCUUGCAAUCAUUUACUGAAAAGAUGCCAUCUGCUCACUGGUUAGGAAUCGGUGGCUGAAACUUCUCUAGCUUGGAAGAGUCCUUUAUGUAUACCUUCUCCUUGCUUGGCAGGCACUGUCUCCUGACAGGUUCCCAGGAUAUAAAUCAACCUCCAUCAUCCUAAGUGUGUGUGAGUUGAGCGUGAGCGCUAAGGCUGAAGGAGAGCAGAGGUAAUCAUGGAUGGAAACUCAUUGCAUCCUGGCUACUCUACUUCCAUCCUCUAGAUUCUUGUCUCUCAUUCUACCAGGAAUGCAACCUUAUUCUCUGCUCAGGCUAUGAUCUCUGCCCCAUGAGUGGGUGUUUGAGACCACUUAUGAAAUAGGAGAGAAAGAGGAGGUGCUAUCUGGGCUUUGCCUUGAGAGAAUGAGCAGAAUAUGCUUUUGGGUAGACCCACAGUAGAAUUUUGUAUAAGAGACUUAGUAAACUAGGGAAGGGAAAACAGUUGUAGGCCUUGAAUGUGAUUUCUAGCUCAGGGCAAGAACUAAAAGGUCACAAAGCAUACAACCCCGGAAGACUGUUGAUAGUAGGGCUCAGGUAGGUCAAGGCCAGAAAAACAGGUACAAAAGACUAUCUCUGGCGAGAUUUACACAUUUGAAAAGCACUAGUAUGAGCUGAGAUGCUUCUAAGUGACAUUUCUUGUCUUUUAUUUGUUUAAAAACACAGGGCCACUAAUUAUCAGAAUGGGCACUGAGAAAUUUUCUAAGGCCGACACCCAGGAUCAUCAUCCCAUUGCAGCGAAAUCCCCAAGAGUGAGACAAAAUAAACUCCCAAGUAUCUCAACUUCCAGCCAAGGCCUUUAUAUCUGAUAAAUCAGACCAACAUCCGGGAAUAUAAGAUAUAUGCCUAAGGUCACACCCGGUGUUCAGUGUAGAGUGCUACCCUCUUCUGGACAAUGGACAUGCUCACAUGGAAGUUAUUUCCAUCGAGCAUUUCAAAGUCUUACCUCAUUUUAAUGGUGUAGGAAUUAAAUAGUUAUGAGAUCAGACACUGGAUAGGGUCUGAGCUACAGGUAGGAUGGCUUGUGGUAAACUAAAUAAAUGGUCAAAGGUGUGGAAGGACAGCAUCAAAGACUUUAGGACAGUUCAGAGGUCUGUUAUUUCUGUAGAAGGUAUUGGUGGAUGUACAAUGAUAUGUACAGUGCCAUGUUCAUCAGCUCUUGACCGUAACUAAACUCCUUACUUUCUCUUGGUAAAUCUGUUUCCUUCUCUGUAUGAGGUUGUAAUAAGCCCCAGAGGGCAGAUUUGGAGAUCGGAAGAGAUGUUAUUCACAAUGUGCUUGACAUAUGUGGCCCUCACUAACCCUAGUCACUACUAUAUAAUCACCUAGAACCCUGCCUAGACUUGGCCUCUGACAUUUUUGUGACCUUUAACCAUUAACUUUCCUUCUUUGAGUAUCACACUCCAGUUUUCCAAAUGAGGAUGUCAGUACAGAUCCCCAACUCUCAUAAAUCUUGGAAAUCAUAGCUUUGUUCUAUGGUGGGGUUGAUUGUAGAGGUAAAUCAAUCUCAGUUGUAGAGGACAAAAUGAGAGAUGGGACAAGGUAUGUGUGUGUGUGUGUGUGUGUGUGUGUGUGUGUGUGUGUGUGCGCGCGCGCGCAGGGGAGUGGACCUAGUUGCUUUUUCCAGCUUUGCUCACCCUGAUUUCAGUUGACCACUUUGGGAAUCCCCAAGCUAAAGUUAGUCUUGUGUUGACUGAAACAAAAACUCAAGGUUGUAAAAAGAGAAAAAUAAGCAGAAGUGAAACCAAGCUGAUGGCAAGCAAAGCAGGACAAACAGAGCCAGGUGUGGCCCUUGAGACAAAAGAGGCCAUUUCAUGACUGUAGUUGUAUGACUGUGUCUCACGUAGGUAGGAAUAUCAAGUCUACAUUACAUCUCUUCCCAGCUCCAAGUAGGAGUCCCUAAGCUUGAUGCUGUCCUACAUCUGGCUACAUCCUCACAUUCCAAGAUCAGUCUUUAAUAUUAGAAUCCUGGAAGUCCACGGAGCCACUUGUGGUUUUGUAUGUUAGUAGGGUACUAGAGAGGAAUUGACUGGAUCAGAACUAUGGGGCUCCAUCUCAAUUUCCUAACCUGGAGAGAAAUGGAUAACUGAAUUGGGACUUCCUCCUCGUGACCCAGAAAUUCUGCUCUCAGGACUUCAUCACAGAGAUAUCACUUGGCCUAUGUGACAUGGAGACUCAAAGGAA